Molecule: ribosomal RNA, 271 nt
Filed under: uncultured bacterium
Lineage: Bacteria
Description: partial 16S ribosomal RNA
Rfam family: Bacterial small subunit ribosomal RNA
Source: RNAcentral
AACGGGGGGGACUAACGUUAUUCAUCAUAACUGGGCGUAAAGGGUACGUAGGUUGUGUAUAAUUAUUUGGGAAUUAGUAAGUCUUAAUUAAAAAAUCUAAGCAUAACUUAGAAAUUAAUUAUUAUACUUAUACUCUUGAGGUUAAAAGAAGAAAGUUAUAUUUUUAAAGGAGGGGUAAAAUUCUAAAAUAUUAAAAAGAUAACCUUUUAGUGAAAACUACUUUCUAUUUUAAUGCUGACACUGAGGUACGAAGGCAUGGGAAUCAAACGGG